AUUUCAUCAAUUUUCAUGCUUAUUCGAGGUCCAAUGUCAUACUGUGGAAUCACUUGUGAAUAUUUUAACUGAAGUUGUUGUUUCUAACGAAGUCAGUCCAAUCUGCUUCCCGUCAUACAGCUCAAUUCAAUGAAUAAGUUAAAUUUGAUAGAGAGCCUAAUGAUUGAGAAUGACUGUAACAUCAUUUGCACUUCUCUGAUAUGUUCAUAGUUUCCUCCAAAAGUCUCAUUUUCAUCACCAAUCAUCUGUCCUUUGUUAUUUUUCUCAAAGGAAUAACCUCUCCUAGUACUGGUUUUGAAUCAAUUUUUGUAUUCUUAAACUUCAUGUAUAUACUCUUGAUUUCUUAUGUUGCAG
This 354-nucleotide unclassified non-coding RNA is filed under the name Hevea brasiliensis (rubber tree). Lineage: Eukaryota; Viridiplantae; Streptophyta; Magnoliopsida; Malpighiales; Euphorbiaceae. The record is from RNAcentral.